Molecule: long non-coding RNA, 587 nt
Organism: Nelumbo nucifera (sacred lotus)
Lineage: Eukaryota; Viridiplantae; Streptophyta; Magnoliopsida; Proteales; Nelumbonaceae
Source: RefSeq, a predicted model, not a curated record
UUCAAAACCCUACCGAAAUGCUGCCCACAACCCCCUAACUGUCUAACCCUUUUCGUUUUUGUCUUUCUGAAGAGUGAACUAAAGACUGGUCUUUCUUCUUUCACUCUUUCUCUGAAUCUCUUCUCAAUUCUCAUUUGAAACUUGGAAAGUUGAGAGAGGAAGUUUUAUCUAGACCUUCUGGUGACUUACUGACUCUGGUUCGAUCUAUCUCAUCAUCUAGAGAGUGGAGGCUGCGGGCUGAAAGCACAUCGGUCAUCGCACAACACAAUCAACACUACAGUCGUUCGUCCGUCCAUCAAUAGUGAUACUGAGAGGUUUGAGAGUCAGAGAAAUCGGAAAAUGACGAUGGACCUUAGAACUAUUUGAAGGGCUCUUCUCUAUUAAGGGAAAAGCUCAAUAUCAGUUUUUUUUUAGCCGUUUAGAUGUAUUUUGUGGGAUCCCAUUAAUGGUAGAGCGUAAGUCAAUGACCAAUUGACCAGGAAUUCUACUAUUCUAUUAGCCUUUACCUAGAGGUUUUUUUGUUGCAUUCCUAAAUGUAACUACUAAAAUCGUAUGAAGUAAUUAGCAAUGUAUUUUUAUUGAAUUUA